This 1028-nucleotide long non-coding RNA is filed under the name Helianthus annuus (common sunflower). RNAcentral's name for it is "hypothetical non coding rna". Lineage: Eukaryota; Viridiplantae; Streptophyta; Magnoliopsida; Asterales; Asteraceae. The record is from RNAcentral.
AUGGUCAAGGAAGUCAUUUGUGGAUUACGGAUUACAGCCAUGAGAGCAGAGACAAGAUUCACCAACGCAUAAAAUUGCUAUAUUAAAAUUCUACGUUCAAUAGAAAAUUCAUCAAAGAAAUGCCGUAAAGAAAAAAGAGAAAGUUGUGAUUCAGGCCAGAAAUAUGAGAUCCGCAUCACUCAACUUUUAUCGCCAAUUUGGAGCAACACGGUUUCUGUUUUAAGAUAAGUUUUCAAUUCACUUCAACCUUUUUGCACAUUUAUAACUAUUGUACAUUAACUUUGGUCCACAAUUAAAGGGGCAUUUUAGAUAUUUGAUCAAUAGCCACAUGUUUAUAAAGUGUCAAAUCAAAAAUUGCAUACAUUUAACCCUAAGAUCAAGAAACAUGCAAGUCAGCAAACGGCAAAAUUGUGACGAAUUCCUGUUCUAAAGGAUAUAUAUAAAAUAUUAACAAAAUUUAUAGCAAGCCAGGCAGGUUUUAAUGAAUUAAUUAUAUAGCCCGAGUCUGUUAAACAAAGUGGGGACAAGGGGCACACAUCAGGAUGAGAUUGGGUUGGAUCACAUGGGGAAUACAAACAGUAAAAUCCCUCCCACUCACAGCAAAGCUCUUGGUAGAGUCUUGGGAGGGUGGGAUGAGGACAAAGGGGGUAUUUUUGGUUCAGAUUAAGUCAACCUAAAGCAACCAUUUUUCACAAGUCAACCUAAGGCAGCUAUAUUUCGCAUGUCAACCUAAAGCAGCCAUUAAUCGCAAGUCAACCCAUAGUUGUUAAUAGCGGCUAUAGCGACCGCUAUAGCGCGCUACGUAGCCUUGCGACCAAGUGUCGCUAUAUGGGUCUUAGCGACGAAUAGCGAAGUUAGCGACAGUUAGGGUUUUUUUUUUUUUUAAGUUUUCACCUCUUGUUUGGGCCAUUUUUAAUAAUACAAAAAAACCCGCAUAAUCUGCUUAAAAAAGCAGAAGGUUAAAUUGUGUGUGUGUGUGUUUUUUUUUUAAGUUUUUCACCUCUCGUUUGGGCCAUUUUUAAUAAUAC